Molecule: ribosomal RNA, 459 nt
Filed under: uncultured bacterium
Lineage: Bacteria
Description: bacterial SSU rRNA
Rfam family: Bacterial small subunit ribosomal RNA
Source: RNAcentral
AAUCAACGCUGGCGGCGUGCCUAACACAUGCAAGUCGAACGGUGACGAGGAGCUUGCUCCUCCGAUCAGUGGCGAACGGGUGAGUAACACGUGAGUAACCUGCCCCAGACUCUGGAAUAACAGUUGGAAACAGCUGCUAAUACCGGAUACGAGACGGAGAGGCAUCUCUACCGUCUGGAAAGUUUUUCGGUCUGGGAUGGACUCGCGGCCUAUCAGCUUGUUGGUGAGGUAAUGGCUCACCAAGGCGACGACGGGUAGCCGGCCUGAGAGGGCGACCGGCCACACUGGGACUGAGACACGGCCCAGACUCCUACGGGAGGCAGCAGUGGGGAAUAUUGCACAAUGGGCGCAAGCCUGAUGCAGCAACGCCGCGUGAGGGAUGACGGCCUUCGGGUUGUAAACCGUACUUUCAGUAGGGAAGAAGCGAAAGUAGACGGUACCUACAGAAGAAGACACCGG